CAGGGGCUGGGAGGAUACAGCUACCACAGCCAUGACUACUCCUGCAUUAGCCUAUUCAGUGCAGGUCAUGUAUCUUGAAUAACAAGAUGGAUUGGUUAUUCUUUUCUGCAUAGCAGGUCUCGUGUCCCAAAGGAUCCCUGGAUCUACUGUUCCAGAGAUAAGAAGAUCUAUAUUUCUUAGAUGAGUUGCACCAACAAUCUGUAUACUUUGUUUUGUAUUACUGGUAAGCAACAAUCAGAAUUGGAAUAUUAUUCCUGAACUGUGUGCUGCCAAGUUGUUCUGGCAGCAGGGUUAAAGGUAAAGGCUAGAGCUAAACCCUGGCUUCAAGAAGUGAAGGACAUAUGAGAUGUUGUGUCCAGAGG
Molecule: long non-coding RNA, 362 nt
Organism: Corapipo altera (White-ruffed manakin)
Lineage: Eukaryota; Metazoa; Chordata; Aves; Passeriformes; Pipridae
Exons: 3
Source: RefSeq, a predicted model, not a curated record